AAUUCAGAAAGGGUGGUUUAGGUAUCCAAAAAGAACCAGUAAAUCAAAUUAGAACACAUAAGGAAAGAGAGGGAGAACCUGACUCGCGGGAUUGAUUCGGCUUGUUUAGCGAACACGAUUACUGUGCUAAAACGUCUGGAGGGGCUCUUUUUGAGGGACCUACAGCAUAUUGAUUGUCUGCUGGAAUGAAAAACUAAGGGAGUUAUGUGCCGCCUCGUUAUAUUCCGUUGGGGCAGUCUGAUAUAGAAGCGGUAACUGCUACGCAAAAUGAAGAUCCUCCUGUUUCUGGUCAUAGGGGUGAUGGAACGACAAAGUGGUCGUCUGGAAUUUGCGCCUGUUGCGAUGAUAUGCAAAGCUGUACGCUACUUUCUGCCCUGUGACGUUGAUUUUUCAGAAGCGAUAAAUAUGAAGGUUGUAUAGGCCUUUUUUGUCCUUGCUUUUUGUUUGGAAAGAAUGCUGAAUUUCUAGGUUCUGGAACUUUAAUAGGAUCAUGCGCGACCCAUUGUAUUUUGUGGGCUAUUGUCAAUACUGUCUGCUGCAUGAUGACUGAUGGCAUUUUGCUGGGAUUACCCGGAUGCUUUGUUGCAUGUUAUGCAUGUGGCUACCGCAGGGCCCUUCGAGCAAAGUAUAAUCUAGAGGAAGAGCCCUGUGGCGAUUUGGUUACUCACUUUUGCUGUCAUUUGUGUGCAAUUUGUCAAGAGUAUAGAGAGAUAAGGGAAAGGUCCGGCGAUUCUAAUCAUCCUGAUCUUAAACUGCCUGUGGUAGCAGCUCCACCGGUCCAGAUAAUGGAGUAACAUGCUACGCAUACAACUUUUCGGUCUGUACCUUUAACUGGUAACAUUUUGAUUUUGUUUGAAAUGAUAACACGGUUUAUAUGGGAGUGGUCUGUAAUCUUGGCUAGAACUAACGGAUGGGGCUUGUUCUGUAGCUUACUUUUAUUAAAAAGAAAAAAAAAACUGAAAUAUGUGACAUUUAUAAUUGGAUAUUUCGCUACUAAAAAA
This is an RNA transcript of Tripterygium wilfordii, 1001 nucleotides long. It is a transcript of the gene named protein PLANT CADMIUM RESISTANCE 10-like, with no coding region annotated. NCBI's taxonomy places the organism in Eukaryota, Viridiplantae, Streptophyta, Magnoliopsida, Celastrales, Celastraceae. The transcript is spliced from 4 exons. The record is from RefSeq and is a predicted model, not a curated record.